AUUGAACGCUGGCGGAAUGCUUUACACAUGCAAGUCGAACGGCAGCAUAGGUGCUUGCACCUGAUGGCGAGUGGCGAACGGGUGAGUAAUACAUCGGAACGUGCCCAGUCGUGGGGGAUAACGUAGCGAAAGUUACGCUAAUACCGCAUACGAUCUACGGAUGAAAGCGGGGGACCGUAAGGCCUCGCGCGAUUGGAGCGGCCGAUGUUAGAUUAGGUAGUUGGUGGGGUAAAGGCUCACCAAGCCGACGAUCUAUAGCUGGUCUGAGAGGAUGAUCAGCCACACUGGGACUGAGACACGGCCCAGACUCCUACGGGAGGCAGCAGUGGGGAAUAUUGCACAAUGGGCGCAAGCCUGAUGCAGCAACGCCGCGUGAGGGAUGACGGCCUUCGGGUUGUAAACCUCUUUUAGUUGGGAAGAAGCGAAAGUGACGGUACCAACAGAAAAAGCACCGGCUAACUACGUACG
This 468-nucleotide ribosomal RNA is filed under the name uncultured bacterium. Its description in RNAcentral is "bacterial SSU rRNA". It matches the Rfam family "Bacterial small subunit ribosomal RNA", at positions 30 to 509 of the family's 1533-position model. The record is from RNAcentral.